Non-coding RNA from Camellia sinensis, 585 nucleotides. NCBI's taxonomy places the organism in Eukaryota, Viridiplantae, Streptophyta, Magnoliopsida, Ericales, Theaceae. The record is from RefSeq and is a predicted model, not a curated record.
AAUCAAAAACAAAAUAAAAAGGUCCAUCAAAAGGCAUGUAAAAGAGAGGGAGCGAGAGUGAGAGACAACGGCCAGAAGCUCCACCUCUGCCACCGCCGCCCAGCGCCACCUUUGCACAGGAGGGCAUCAAAUCGGUAUUGGGACAUCGAUCAGAAUACCCUCCAAUAUUGUGAAGAGUCUGCGAUUAGGUGGAAUCAACAAUAGAACACAUCUGUCGUCAUGAAGGUGAUGGAGCCAUUCUUGUAUUCCUCACUGGUUGGGAUGACAUUUCUAAGCUGCUUGAAAAAAUUAAAGCAAACAGUUUACUUAGAGAUCCCAGCAAGUUUUCUUGUUCUUCCUCUUCAUGGUUCAAUGCCUACCAUCAAUCAAUGUGAAAUUUUUGAUCGCCCACGUGCCAAUGUGAGAUAUUUCCAGUGUAAGAGUUUGCUUCUUGUGGAUUUCAUGCCUGUGAAGAAUGCCACUAAUUUUUGUUUUUGUACCACGGAGAAUGCUGAGGAAAACUUUUAAUUUUGAUUUGUGUUAUUUUGAAUUAUGAAUAACAUUAUGUAUUUAAACAUUAUAUAUGUAUUAUGGAACAUUAUGUAC